This is a long non-coding RNA of Oreochromis niloticus (Nile tilapia), 1100 nucleotides long. RefSeq lists it as uncharacterized. The transcript is spliced from 4 exons. NCBI's taxonomy places the organism in Eukaryota, Metazoa, Chordata, Actinopteri, Cichliformes, Cichlidae. The record is from RefSeq and is a predicted model, not a curated record.
UCAUGUUUGUGGCUGUAAUGUGACAAAAUGUGGAAAAGUUCAAGGGGGCCGAAUACUUUUGCAAGCCACUGUAUAUUAACGUGUCCCGGAGAAACUCCACCCCCUCCUGAUCACUAAUUGCACACACCUGGGAGUUCACAGAGGCCAAUAAGAGGCCCUGGCAGGACAGAGAGCAAGAGAGAUGGCAAAGUAGCUGGCGGCAAGCAGCAGUGACAGACAGGUCGGAGGACAUUCUCAGUGGAGCUCAACUGGCGGCGACAACAGGCUUGGAGGCGCUGGCGAGUGGCUGCAGAGAGGCAACUGGGAAUAUUCUGCAGCGGUGGACUUUUUAUACAACGGCUGACAAGUAACCCCAGGUGUGAUCCUUCGUUGUGGCCAGGUGAUGAUGCUGAACUGAUAGCUGCAUCCCAGUCUGUGGAAGCCCAAAGAUUAAAAGAACUGGGAGAUUUUAACAACUUGGUGCCUGGUGACCCGGAUCUUUGGUGUGCUGAGGAGGGGCAGAUUUGGCCUGUGGUGAGAUCGUGGGGCGAGGCGAACAGAAGACCGGUCUAACAGAAUAAAAAGGCCUUGACUGAAUUCUUUGCUGUGCUUCACACAGCCUGAUGAGGAGCAGAGGCACAGAGUGAAAAGGAUGAAUUAAUAGUGUAAGUUUUAGGUCGAAGUACUGCAUUUUCUGUGAUUGAAAUUUAAUUCAAGGAGGAACAAAAGGUGUUACGGUACCUGAGGUUCUCAUUCCCACACAAUAUUGUCCCGACAGGAAGCAAAACGUUCCUGUGAAUUUCUGGUUGAUUUUUUGGUUUUGCUUAGCGCUAGCUUGAUUUUAUCAGUGAGCUUUGGCUUGUGUUCUUUCUCGUAAGCGAGAGAGGGAUAGUUUUAUGCUUGAACAUGUCUGCAACGGGCCCUAGUUUGUGUUAUUUUUAUUAGUAUUUUGUUGAUUACGUCUGUUUUUGUUUUUGUUACAGUGCACUGAGGAAAAUCUGAGAGGUGAUCCACCGGUGGUGAUAUUUUGUGAGUUCAUGAUUUAACAAUCAGCUCUUUAAACCAGGCCUGAAAGAUUGAGAUUUAAAGCGCUAUAAAAUAUUAUUACUGUAAACAGUUGC